Molecule: unclassified non-coding RNA, 519 nt
Filed under: uncultured Glomeromycotina
Lineage: Eukaryota; Fungi; Glomeromycota
Description: SSU rRNA
Rfam family: Eukaryotic small subunit ribosomal RNA
Source: RNAcentral
CAGCCGCGUAAUUCCAGCUCCAAUAGCGUAUAUUAAAGUUGUUGCAGUUAAAAAGCUCGUAGUUGAAUUUCGGGGUUAGUAGGUUGGUCAUGCCUCUGGUAUGUACUGGUCUCACUGAUUCCUCCUUCCUGAUGAGCCGUAAUGCCAUUAAUUUGGUGUUGCGGGGAAUUUGGACUGUUACUUUGAAAAAAUUAGAGUGUUUAAAGCAAGCUAACGCUUGAAUACAUUAGCAUGGAAUAAUGAAAUAGGACGUUCGAUCCUAUUUUGUUGGUUUCUAGGAUUGACGUAAUGAUUAAUAGGGAUAGUUGGGGGCAUUAGUAUUGAAUUGUCAGAGGUGAAAUUCUUGGAUUUAUUGAAGACUAACUACUGCGAAAGCAUUUGCCAAGGAUGUUUUCAUUAAUCAAGAACGAAAGUUAGGGGAUCGAAGACGAUCAGAUACCGUCGUAGUCUUAACCAUAAACUAUGCCGACUAGGGAUCGGAUGAUGUUAAUUUUUUAAUGACUCAUUCGGCGCCUUACG